RNAcentral lists this ribosomal RNA (305 nucleotides) under uncultured bacterium. RNAcentral describes it as "bacterial SSU rRNA". It matches the Rfam family "Bacterial small subunit ribosomal RNA", at positions 333 to 631 of the family's 1533-position model. The record is from RNAcentral.
AGUAUCCUACGGGGGGCAGCAGUAGGGAAUUUUAGUCAAUGGGCGCAAGCCUGAACGAGCAAUGCCGCGUGAACGAGGAAGGUCUUCGGAUCGUAAAGUUCUGUUGAAGGGGAAAAAGAGCGGAGAGAGGAAAUGAACUCCGAUUGAUAUUACCCUUCGAGGAAGUCACGGCUAACUACGUGCCAGCAGCCGCGGUAAUACGUAGGUGGCGAGCGUUAUCCGGAAUGAUUGGGCGUAAAGGGUGCGUAGGCGGCCUGCUAAGUCUGGAGUGAAAGGUACCGGCUCAACCGAUACAGGCUCGGGAA